ACCGAGACCGAACCGACCUAACGCCUGUGCCUGUGCGUGCGCGCGCGCGCGUACAUUCGGGCAGAGGCGACAGGAAGCAGUACCCGCCCACCUACCUCCUCCGCGUAGGAGGAAGCCAGGUGUCCUUCGUGUCCCAAGAGCAAAGGUCAGCCCCUGAGUGAGGGAGGUCACCGAGGAAAUGGGUUUCAGGGCUAAAUCAUUGUCCCUCCCAGACAUCGCUUUGCAGUGCAGAACCAAUUUGAAAAUGUGGCAUGAUCAGCAGUCUCGCCCGAGGAGAGACCAGGACCAGCGCAAAGGGAGGGUGAACACACAAACCAAAAAGAAGAGCACAUGUGAGGAAAUGGUACUGAAAAAAACCAACUGGUCUCCCUACUCUCUGAGAAGCUGCAAAAAUAUCUCAUAUCUAAGUUUAAAGAGUACCGGCCAUUGGAGCUAAGGCAACUUAAAGGCAUCCUGCUGACCCUUGUAUCACUGGCCUAUUGGGAUAAACACUAAAGUUUCAUCUUUAUCCCCCAAACUCCAUGGAGAAUGCAAGGUGACUGAACCUGGAUCAUAAGAGCUAGAUGAAUAAUGAACUUGGAAAGGAACAAAACAAUAUACUCAAGAAGAAGGAGAAAUAUCCAAGAACUCAGCAUAUGUUCCUAAUGAGAAUUGCUGAAGGAGAGAGAUGGCAAUUUGAACACAAUCAUGAUGACAAUAACCAUACCACGAGCACUUAAGAAAAGUGAAUUAAAGCACAAUUUCUUGAAACUGAAAUGCAUAUUUUGAGAUUUGAUAUUUAUUAGAUGUAACCCAAGAAUUGUAUAUCAAAUCAAGAUAGCAAUCAUCUAUCAAGAGAAGAGGAGGUUACACAGAAUUUGUAAAAAAUAUUCCACAC
Molecule: long non-coding RNA, 877 nt
Filed under: Fukomys damarensis (Damara mole-rat)
Lineage: Eukaryota; Metazoa; Chordata; Mammalia; Rodentia; Bathyergidae
Description: lncRNA (ENSFDAG00000028353.1)
Source: RNAcentral